RNAcentral lists this long non-coding RNA (2361 nucleotides) under Citrus sinensis (sweet orange). RNAcentral's name for it is "long non-coding RNA (CSIN_LNC000470)". Lineage: Eukaryota; Viridiplantae; Streptophyta; Magnoliopsida; Sapindales; Rutaceae. The record is from RNAcentral.
GCCCAAAUCUCCGUCUGUCCCCGGUCACGGAUGCCCAGUUUUCUCCUUAUGUUGGUGGAAUGGCCUUCUCUCCUACUUCAUCACCCGGAUACAGCCCAUCAUCACCAGGCUACAGUCCGUCAUCUCCUGGAUACAGUCCCACGUCACCUGGAUACAGCCCAACUUCGCCUGGAUACAGUCCCACCUCGCCUGGAUAUAGCCCUACCUCACCAACUUAUAGUCCAAGUUCUCCUGGUUAUAGUCCAACCAGUCCUGCCUAUUCUCCUACCAGUCCAUCGUACUCACCUACUUCACCAAGCUAUAGCCCAACCUCCCCAAGUUACAGCCCAACAUCCCCAAGCUACAGCCCGACCUCUCCAAGUUACAGCCCCACUUCUCCCAGUUACAGUCCAACUUCACCAAGCUAUAGCCCCACCUCACCGGCAUAUAGCCCCACCUCACCUGCAUAUAGCCCCACCUCACCUGCAUACAGCCCCACUUCACCAUCGUACAGCCCAACCUCUCCUUCCUACAGCCCAACAUCACCUUCGUACAGCCCUACCUCACCGUCAUACAGCCCCACUUCUCCAUCGUACAGCCCCACUUCACCAGCCUAUAGCCCCACUUCUCCUGGUUAUAGUCCAACUUCACCAAGUUAUAGCCCAACUUCACCAACCUAUAGUCCUACAUCCCCAAGCUACAAUCCUCAGUCUGCCAAAUACAGUCCGUCGCUGGCCUACUCACCAAGUAGUCCAAGAUUAUCUCCUGCCAGUCCGUACAGCCCUACAUCUCCAAAUUACAGGUAAGCCAUAGUGCGAUAUGUGGUCAAGUCUAAUGUUUGUGUUAAAAGCUGUAUCCAAUUUAUUAGGUCUUGUUUUUGAUAGAAUUCUAUAUACUGAAAUAUCUGUUGAACCUAAGACUUGCUGUAGCUGGGGAUUGGACUUGGAUGGGUUUAAAUUAUUAAUGAUUUUAUCUCUGUUGUUUUUAACAUUAUUAUAUCUGGAUGAUUAUGUUGAUGUAUCUUGUAAGCAACUUUUCUUUUUACGCAGUCCAACAUCAUCUUCGUAUUCACCGACAUCUCCCUCUAUGAUACUGGACCAAUGAUGAGAUGUUCAUUUGAAGAAACGGUUGACAUUCUUCUUGAUGCUGCAGUCUUUGCAGAAUCAGAUUAUUUGAGGGGGGUCACUGAGAAUAUAAUGUUAGGUCAGCUUGCGCCUAUUGGGACAGGAGACUGUUCAUUGUAUCUCAAUGAUGAGAUGCUGAAAAAUGCCAUCGAACUUCAGCUUCCUAGUUAUAUGGAAGGUCUGGAGUUUGGCAUGACACCUGCUCGUUCUCCGGUGUCUGGGACUCCUUAUCAUGAUGGCAUGAUGUCUCCAGGUUACUUGUUUAGCCCAAAUCUCCGUCUGUCCCCGGUCACGGAUGCCCAGUUUUCUCCUUAUGUUGGUGGAAUGGCCUUCUCUCCUACUUCAUCACCCGGAUACAGCCCAUCAUCACCAGGCUACAGUCCGUCAUCUCCUGGAUACAGUCCCACGUCACCUGGAUACAGCCCAACUUCGCCUGGAUACAGUCCCACCUCGCCUGGAUAUAGCCCUACCUCACCAACUUAUAGUCCAAGUUCUCCUGGUUAUAGUCCAACCAGUCCUGCCUAUUCUCCUACCAGUCCAUCGUACUCACCUACUUCACCAAGCUAUAGCCCAACCUCCCCAAGUUACAGCCCAACAUCCCCAAGCUACAGCCCGACCUCUCCAAGUUACAGCCCCACUUCUCCCAGUUACAGUCCAACUUCACCAAGCUAUAGCCCCACCUCACCGGCAUAUAGCCCCACCUCACCUGCAUAUAGCCCCACCUCACCUGCAUACAGCCCCACUUCACCAUCGUACAGCCCAACCUCUCCUUCCUACAGCCCAACAUCACCUUCGUACAGCCCUACCUCACCGUCAUACAGCCCCACUUCUCCAUCGUACAGCCCCACUUCACCAGCCUAUAGCCCCACUUCUCCUGGUUAUAGUCCAACUUCACCAAGUUAUAGCCCAACUUCACCAACCUAUAGUCCUACAUCCCCAAGCUACAAUCCUCAGUCUGCCAAAUACAGUCCGUCGCUGGCCUACUCACCAAGUAGUCCAAGAUUAUCUCCUGCCAGUCCGUACAGCCCUACAUCUCCAAAUUACAGGUAAGCCAUAGUGCGAUAUGUGGUCAAGUCUAAUGUUUGUGUUAAAAGCUGUAUCCAAUUUAUUAGGUCUUGUUUUUGAUAGAAUUCUAUAUACUGAAAUAUCUGUUGAACCUAAGACUUGCUGUAGCUGGGGAUUGGACUUGGAUGGGUUUAAAUUAUUAAUGAUUUUAUCUCUGUUGUUUUUAACAUUAUUAUAUCUGGAUGAUUAUGUU